UACGAAGGGGGCUAGCGUUGCUCGGAAUCACUGGGCGUAAAGGGUGCGUAGGCGGGUCUUUAAGUCAGGGGUGAAAUCCUGGAGCUCAACUCCAGAACUGCCUUUGAUACUGAAGAUCUUGAGUUCGGGAGAGGUUAGUGGAACUGCGAGUGUAGAGGUGAAAUUCGUAGAUAUUCGCAAGAACACCAGUGGCGAAGGCGGCUCACUGGCCCGAUACUGACGCUGAGGCACGAAAGCGUGGGGAGCAAACAGG
This 253-nucleotide ribosomal RNA is filed under the name uncultured bacterium. RNAcentral's name for it is "partial 16S ribosomal RNA". It matches the Rfam family "Bacterial small subunit ribosomal RNA", at positions 524 to 776 of the family's 1533-position model. The record is from RNAcentral.